ACAGGUUAAUAUUCCUGUACUUCCAGUUAUUGCGAUGGAGGGACGGAGAAGGUUAGGCCAGCCUGGCGUUGGUUGUCCAGGUUUAAGGUGGUAGGCUGAAAUCUUAGGCAAAUCCGGGAUUUCAAGGCCGAGAGCUGAUGACGAGUUGCCUUUAGGCGACGAAGUGGUUGAUACCAUGCUUCCAAGAAAAGCUCCUAAGCUUCAGAUAACUGGGAACCGUACCCCAAACCGACACAGGUGGUUAGGUAGAGAAUACCAAGGCGCUUGAGAGAACUCGGGUGAAGGAACUAGGCAAAAUGGCACCGUAACUUCGGGAGAAGGUGCGCCGGCGAGGGUGAAGGACUUGCUCCGUAAGCUCAUGCCGGUCGAAGAUACCAGGCCGCUGCGACUGUUUAUUAAAAACACAGCACUCUGCAAACACGAAAGUGGACGUAUAGGGUGUGACGCCUGCCCGGUGCCGGAAGGUUAAUUGAUGGGGUUAGCGCAAGCGAAGCUCUUGAUCGAAGCCCCGGUAAACGGCGGCCGUAACUAUAACGGUCCUAAGGUAGCGAAAUUCCUUGUCGGGUAAGUUCCGACCUGCACGAAUGGCGUAACGAUGGCGGCGCUGUCUCCACCCGAGACUCAGUGAAAUUGAAAUCGCUGUGAAGAUGCAGUGUAUCCGCGGCUAGACGGAAAGACCCCGUGAACCUUUACUAUAGCUUUGCACUGGACUUUGAAUUUGCUUGUGUAGGAUAGGUGGGAGGCUUUGAAGUGGGGACGCCAGUUCUCAUGGAGCCAUCCUUGAAAUACCACCCUGGCAACUUUGAGGUUCUAACUCAGGUCCGUUAUCCGGAUCGAGGACAGUGUAUGGUGGGUAGUUUGACUGGGGCGGUCUCCUCCCAAAGAGUAACGGAGGAGUACGAAGGUGCGCUCAGACCGGUCGGAAAUCGGUCGUAGAGUAUAAAGGCAAAAGCGCGCUUGACUGCGAGACAAACACGUCGAGCAGGUACGAAAGUAGGUCUUAGUGAUCCGGUGGUUCUGUAUGGAAGGGCCAUCGCUCAACGGAUAAAAGGUACUCCGGGGAUAACAGGCUGAUACCGCCCAAGAGUUCAUAUCGACGGCGGUGUUUGGCACCUCGAUGUC
Molecule: ribosomal RNA, 1122 nt
Filed under: soil metagenome
Description: bacterial LSU rRNA
Rfam family: Bacterial large subunit ribosomal RNA
Source: RNAcentral